Molecule: ribosomal RNA, 492 nt
Filed under: uncultured bacterium
Lineage: Bacteria
Description: partial 16S ribosomal RNA
Rfam family: Bacterial small subunit ribosomal RNA
Source: RNAcentral
AGUGAACGCUGGCGGUAGGCCUAACACAUGCAAGUCGAACGGCAGCACAGUAAGAGCUUGCUCUUACGGGUGGCGAGUGGCGGACGGGUGAGGAAUACAUCGGAAUCUACUUUUUCGUGGGGGAUAACGUAGGGAAACUUACGCUAAUACCGCAUACGACCUACGGGUGAAAGCAGGGGAUCUUCGGACCUUGCGCGAUUGAAUGAGCCGAUGUCGGAUUAGCUAGUUGGCGGGGUAAAGGCCCACCAAGGCGACGAUCCGUAGCUGGUCUGAGAGGAUGAUCAGGCACACUGGAACUGAGACACGGUCCAGACUCCUACGGGAGGCAGCAGUGGGGAAUAUUGGACAAUGGGCGCAAGCCUGAUCCAGCCAUACCGCGUGGGUGAAGAAGGCCUUCGGGUUGUAAAGCCCUUUUGUUGGGAAAGAAAAGCAGCAGGUUAAUACCCCGCUGUUCUGACGGUACCCAAAGAACAAGCACCGGCUAACUUCGUG